AUGCAUGCAUGCAUUAUACAUUUUAUAUAUAUGUAUAUAUGUAUAUAUAUAUAUAUAUAUAUGUACAUGCAAUGCAUAUUGCAUGCGUGCGUAUGA
Molecule: non-coding RNA, 96 nt
Organism: Cinara cedri
Lineage: Eukaryota; Metazoa; Arthropoda; Insecta; Hemiptera; Aphididae
Source: the annotation of a GenBank genome assembly